AUUCUUUCUCAGAGGCAAUAUUGUAGCUUAUGAGGUUUAGACGCAAUCAUUGCUGGAUGAAAACUUUACCCAAUAGCCCACCAGGAUGACUUGAAAUAUAGUCAGCCUUGCCAUAUUUUGCCAGCUUCUCUAGAAG
Small nuclear RNA from Cyprinus carpio carpio, 136 nucleotides. Its record names the gene U4. It matches the Rfam family "U4 spliceosomal RNA". Rfam says of the family: U4 small nuclear RNA (U4 snRNA) is a component of the major U2-dependent spliceosome. The structure of U4 snRNA from yeast and human has been reported. U4 snRNA presents a k-turn RNA motif in the 5p-SL related to recognition of Snu13 protein. NCBI's taxonomy places the organism in Eukaryota, Metazoa, Chordata, Actinopteri, Cypriniformes, Cyprinidae. The record is from Ensembl.